RNAcentral lists this ribosomal RNA (590 nucleotides) under uncultured Alphaproteobacteria bacterium. RNAcentral's name for it is "partial 16S ribosomal RNA". The record is from RNAcentral. Lineage: Bacteria; Pseudomonadati; Pseudomonadota; Alphaproteobacteria.
GGGAGCUCUCCCAUAUGGUCGACCUGCAGGCGGCCGCGAAUUCACUAGUGAUUCGUAUUACCGCGGCUGCUGGCACAGAGUUAGCCGGUGCUUAUUCUGUCGGUAACGUCAAGACAGCAACGUAUUAGGUUACUGCCCUUCCUCCCAACUUAAAGCGCUUUACAAUCCGAAGACCUUCUUCACACACGCGGCAUUGCUGGAUCAGGCUUUCGCCCAUUGUCCAAUAUUCCCCACUGCUGCCUCCCGUAGGAGUCUGGGCCGUGUCUCAGUCCCAGUGUGGCUGAUCAUCCUCUCAGACCAGCUAAGGAUCGUCGGCUUGGUAGGCCUUUACCCCACCAACUACCUAAUCCUACGCGGGCUCAUCCCUGGCCGAUAAAUCUUUGGUCCGAAGACAUCAUCCGGUAUUAGCAGUCAUUUCUAACUGUUAUUCCGAAGCCAAGGGCAGAUUCCCACGCGUUACGCACCCGUGCGCCACUAACCCCGAAGGGUUCGUUCGACUUGCAUGUGUUAGGCAUGCCGCCAGCGUUCGUUCUGAGCCAUGAUCAAACUCUAAUCGAAUUCCCGCGGCCGCCAUGGCGGCCGGGAGCAUG